This 253-nucleotide ribosomal RNA is filed under the name uncultured bacterium. RNAcentral's name for it is "partial 16S ribosomal RNA". It matches the Rfam family "Bacterial small subunit ribosomal RNA", at positions 524 to 776 of the family's 1533-position model. The record is from RNAcentral.
UACGGAAGGGGCUAGCGUUGUUCGGCAUUACUGGGCGUAAAGAGCGCGUCGGCGGCUUACCAAGUUGGGGGUGAAAUCCCGGAGCUCAACUCCGGAACUGCCUUCAAAACUGGUAGGCUCGAGUCCGGAAGAGGGGCGUGGAAUUCCCAGUGUAGAGGUGAAAUUCGUAGAUAUUGGGAAGAACACCGGUGGCGAAGGCGGCGCCCUGGUCCGGUACUGACGCUGAGGCGCGAAAGCGUGGGGAGCAAACAGG